This 497-nucleotide ribosomal RNA is filed under the name uncultured bacterium. Its description in RNAcentral is "partial 16S ribosomal RNA". It matches the Rfam family "Bacterial small subunit ribosomal RNA", at positions 28 to 507 of the family's 1533-position model. The record is from RNAcentral.
GAUGAACGCUGGCGGCGUGCCUAAUACAUGCAAGUCGAACGAACGGCCGAGGAGUUUUUUCCCCUGAUCAUAGCGGCUGGCGGACGAGUGAGACAUGGAUAACUUACCUAUAUGACUGGGGUAGAUAACAGAAACCAACGACAAUUACGACUACUUUUUUGAACCACUUGCAUCAAACUUGAAGGAAGGUUUUCGCGACAUUUCUAGAUGAGAUCGCGCUGCAUUAGCUAGUUGGUAAGGUAAGGGCUUACCAAGGCAACGAUGCAUAGCCGACCUGAGAGGGUGAUCGGCCACAUUGGGACUGAGACACGGCCCAGACUCCUACGGGAGGCAGCAGUAGGGAAUCUUCCGCAAUGGACGAAAGCCUGACGGAGCAACGCCGCGUGAGUGAAGAAGGUCUUCGGAUCGUAAAGCUCUGUUGUUAGAGAAGAACAGAUGAUAGAGUAACUGUUCAGAGCGUGACGGUACCUAACCAGAAAGCCACGGCUAACUACGUG